CUGAUAAAGGUUGUUUUUGAACAAAUUCUAUGUAUUCGGGGUCUAUCUCAAAACUAGAUGCUAUGAUAGGCUUUGAAGAUUUUGGUGGUUCGAGAUGUGUGCCCGUAGGUCUAUGAAAUUCAUAGAUAGACAUGUUUGAAUUCAUAAUAGACCAGAGAUCAAGGAUUAGAUAAGAAGAAAGAGUAGCAGAGAUAAGGCAAAGGAUAAAAGGAAAAAUAUUUUUUAUUAUAUUUUUUUUAGAAAAUGAUUAAGGUAGUUCGUAGUCAACUCAGCAACCGUUUCCCCGGCAACGGCGCCAAAAAUGCUUGUUGACACUUGCUAACACCACUUGAAUACUAGGUUGUCAUCCCCAGCAUGGCACUAGAGUGUACUAUGGUAUUUAUACGCACACAGAUAAUCCGCAAGCGCACGGAUACCGUUGAAGCUUUUACCCGGUUAAAGGUUUUAUCGUAUCCAUAGGGAAACGGGAGAACUGAUCUACGCUCUAACUUAACCAAGAUAAGUAAAUAGGUGUAAAUAGGAAAGAUGGUAGAAUCGAAUAAGACCAAUAUUAAAGGUAAGAUAACAGUG
RNAcentral lists this long non-coding RNA (570 nucleotides) under Sorghum bicolor (sorghum). RNAcentral describes it as "long non-coding RNA (SBIC_LNC015873)". Lineage: Eukaryota; Viridiplantae; Streptophyta; Magnoliopsida; Poales; Poaceae. The record is from RNAcentral.